ACGGAAGGCAGCAGUGGGGAAUAUUGCACAAUGGGCGAAAGCCUGAUGCAGCAACGCCGCGUGAGGGAAGAAGGUCUUCGGAUUGUAAACCUUUGUCUUUGGUGAAGAAACAAAUGACGGUAGCCGAGGAGAAAGCCACGGCUAACUACGUGCCAGCAGCCGCGGUAAUACGUAGGUGGCAAGCGUUGUCCGGAUUUACUGGGUGUAAAGGGAGCGCAGGCGGGAAAACAAGUCAGCUGUGAAAACUACGGGCUUAACCUGUAAACUGCAGUUGAAACUGUUUUUCUUGAGUGAAGUAGAGGUAGGCGGAAUUCCGAGUGUAGCGGUGAAAUGCGUAGAGAUUCGGAGGAACACCAGUGGCGAAGGCGGCCUACUGGGCUUUAACUGACGCUGAGGCUCGAAAGUGUGGGGAGCAAACAGGAUUAGAUACCCUGGUA
RNAcentral lists this ribosomal RNA (437 nucleotides) under uncultured bacterium. RNAcentral describes it as "partial 16S ribosomal RNA". It matches the Rfam family "Bacterial small subunit ribosomal RNA", at positions 341 to 792 of the family's 1533-position model. The record is from RNAcentral.